RNAcentral lists this transfer RNA (73 nucleotides) under Camelus bactrianus (Bactrian camel). It matches the Rfam family "tRNA". From Rfam's summary of the family: Transfer RNA (tRNA) molecules are approximately 80 nucleotides in length. Their secondary structure includes four short double-helical elements and three loops (D, anti-codon, and T loops). The record is from Rfam by way of RNAcentral. RNAcentral also lists the same sequence under 1 other name. Lineage: Eukaryota; Metazoa; Chordata; Mammalia; Artiodactyla; Camelidae.
GAGGGUGUAGGUCAGUCGUCAGAGUGUGUGCCUAGCACGCACGAGGUCCUGGGUUCAAUCCCCAGUACCUCCA